This 1095-nucleotide long non-coding RNA is filed under the name Cyanistes caeruleus (blue tit). Its description in RNAcentral is "lncRNA (ENSCCEG00000018344.1)". The record is from RNAcentral. Lineage: Eukaryota; Metazoa; Chordata; Aves; Passeriformes; Paridae.
AUUAAAUUAUCAAACCUCAGGUACUUCAAAAAUCCCAGCCAAGAACAGAAGGGAAUCAGGUGCUCCUGACUUCCUUUAUUGCUAAAUGCAAGUGGGGGAAAAAAAGAAAAAAAAAGAAAAAAGAAAAAGAGGAAAAAAAAAUAAUUAAAAAAGAAAAGAAAAAAAAUAGAAAAAAAAAAAAAAAAAAAGGAAAAAAAUAGUUAAUAGUUUUAAUUCUUCAUUUUCAGAAUUCAUUAGAAACAUAAGAACUAGUUCUGGGAUACGCCCACUCUCUGUGUCAUUUACUGCUACAACCCUUAUCUCCCAAUCUUAAUUAAAGAAUUGCUGUGAAAAUAUUUGUUGUGUUUCUGUCUCUAAUUAAUGCUACCUCUCUGCACAUGAGGCUUAACCCAAUACUGAAGCAAACAGAAGUACUCUUAGGCAGAAACUACACAAGAAAUUUGGAGGGGCAUUUUGCAUUUUAACUUGGUGAAAACACCACAACUCAACUGGAAUAAAAUUGAACUGUGACAUAUAUGAAAAUCCUAAAAGAAGUUAUAUUUUAUACUCUCAGAAGUAAAAAAAAAAAAUCUAUUCAGUGAGGCUUGAAUCAGACAUUCACAUGCAGAAGAGUUUACACAGAUGUUAAAUAAUAAAUGCACUGUUGUACCUCAAGAAAAUAUACAAUAACUACUGAUAUUUAUGACAUCAUUCCAACUGCAGGUGUUAUCAAGACAACUUGUCAGCAGUCUGCUCCAUGGACAGGUGAGGGAAGAAGUCUGCUGAUGUGAAGACAGCACUUGCUCUAAAAUAGAAAUGAUAUAUAAAUAGUUGUACUGUGAGACACAGCUUGAGUUCAGUGGCUCACAUGCACGUGACUGUAUUAAAAUGUUUCAGAAAAAAAUUAUAGCAUAUUACACCUUUAAGCUUCUAAAAUUUUCCCAAGUGCUAAAAUCUUAAAUAGGUGAGAUUAGCAUUUUUAAUUUUGCCAUAUACAUGUAUAUAAUUGCAUGUCUACCUCUUGGCAUAUAUAGCCAAUCAGCAUUUAAAGCUGUAAUUUCCCCUGAGAGGUAUUAUACUUAGAAACUGCAGAAAUAAAGGGUGGUCAGCACAUCA